GCUCGAUUAGGGAGCAUGCGCACUGAAACAGGAAGGCUACAGAGAAGACCAGCAUGGCCUCUGUGCGAGGGUGACAUUCAAAUUAAUGAAGUGUUCCGUAUUCUU
Molecule: small nuclear RNA, 105 nt
Organism: Psammomys obesus (fat sand rat)
Lineage: Eukaryota; Metazoa; Chordata; Mammalia; Rodentia; Muridae
Source: RefSeq, a predicted model, not a curated record